GUUUGAUCAUGGCUCAGAUUGAACGCUGGCGGUAACUUUUAAACAUGCAAGUCGAGCGGUAACAGACAUAAGGAUUCAGCUUGCUGAAUCUGGUGCUGACGAGCGGCGAACGGGUGAGUAACGCGUAGGAAUCUACCCAGUAGCGGGGGAUAGCCCGGGGAAACCCGGAUUAAUACCGCAUACGCCCUAAGGGGGAAAGGGGGCAGCUUGCUGCUCUCACUAUUGGAUGAGCCUGCGUAAGAUUAGCUUGUUGGUGGGGUAAAGGCCUACCAAGGCGACGAUCUGUAGCUGGUCUGAGAGGAUGAUCAGCCACACUGGAACUGAGACACGGUCCAGACUCCUACGGGAGGCAGCAGUGAGGAAUAUUGGACAAUGGAGGCAACUCUGAACCAGCCAUGCCGCGUGCAGGAAGAAUGCCCUACGGGUUGUAAACUGCUUUUAUAUAGGAAGAACUACAGCUACGUGUAGCUGUUUGACGGUACUAUAAGAAUAAGGACCGGCUAACUCCGUGCCAGCAGCCGCGGUAAUACGGAGGGUCCAAGCGUUAUCCGGAUUCAUUGGGUUUAAAGGGUCCGUAGGCGGGUUUUUAAGUCAGUGGUGAAAUCCUACAGCUCAACUGUAGAACUGCCAUUGAUACUGGAAACCUUGAGUGUGAUUGAAGUGGGCGGAAUGUGUCAUGUAGCGGUGAAAUGCAUAGAUAUGACACAGAACACCGAUUGCGAAGGCAGCUCACUAAGUCACAACUGACGCUGAGGGACGAAAGCGUGGGUAGCGAACAGGAUUAGAUACCCUGGUAGUCCACGCUGUAAACGAUCAUCACUCGCUGUUGGCGAUACACAGUCAGCGGCCAAGCGAAAGCGUUAAGUGAUGCACCUGGGGAGUACGGUCGCAAGAUUGAAACUCAAAGGAAUUGACGGGGGCCCGCACAAGCGGUGGAGCAUGUGGUUUAAUUCGAUGAUACGCGAGGAACCUUACCUAGGCUAGAAUGCGAGUGACAUCCAGAGAGAUCUGGAGUUCUUCGGAAGUCCACACAGGUGCUGCAUGGCUGUCGUCAGCUCGUGUCGUGAGAUGUUGGGUUAAGUCCCGCAACGAGCGCAACCCUCACUUUUAGUUGCCAUCAUUAAGUUGGGCACUCUGAAAGAACUGCCAGUGAUAAGCUGGAGGAAGGUGGGGAUGACGUCAAGUCCUCAUGGCCCUUACGUGUUGGGCUACACACGUGCUACAAUGGUAUCUACAACAGGAAGCAAGACUGCGAAGUUAAGCAAAUCCUUAAAAGAUACCUCAGUUCGGAUUGCACUCUGCAACUCGAGUGCAUGAAGCUGGAAUUACUAGUAAUCGUGGAUCAGCGUGCCACGGUGAAUGCGUUCCCGGGUCUUGUACACACCGCCCGUCACACCAUGGGAGUUGGUUCUACCUUAAGGCAAGGUUUCAAACCCUUGACCACGGUAUAGUCAGCGACUGGGGUGAAGUCAUAACAAGGUA
Molecule: ribosomal RNA, 1482 nt
Filed under: uncultured prokaryote
Description: partial 16S ribosomal RNA
Rfam family: Bacterial small subunit ribosomal RNA
Source: RNAcentral